GACGAACGCUGGCGGCGUGCUUAACACAUGCAAGUCGAACGGAAAGGCCCUGCUUUUGUGGGGUGCUCGAGUGGCGAACGGGUGAGUAACACGUGAGUAACCUGCCCUUGACUUUGGGAUAACUUCAGGAAACUGGGGCUAAUACCGGAUAGGAGCUCCUGCUGCAUGGUGGGGGUUGGAAAGUUUCGGCGGUUGGGGAUGGACUCGCGGCUUAUCAGCUUGUUGGUGGGGUAGUGGCUUACCAAGGCUUUGACGGGUAGCCGGCCUGGGAGGGUGACCGGCCACAUGGGGACUGGGAUACGGCCCAGACUCCUACGGGAGGCAGCAGUGGGGAAUAUUGCACAAUGGGCGGAAGCCGGAUGCAGCAACGCCGCGUGCGGGAUGACGGCCUUCGGGUGGUAAACCGCUUUCGCCUGUGACGAAGCGUGAGUGACGGUAAUGGGUAAAGAAGCACCGGCUAACUACGUG
This 468-nucleotide ribosomal RNA is filed under the name uncultured bacterium. RNAcentral describes it as "partial 16S ribosomal RNA". It matches the Rfam family "Bacterial small subunit ribosomal RNA", at positions 28 to 507 of the family's 1533-position model. The record is from RNAcentral.